RNAcentral lists this ribosomal RNA (442 nucleotides) under Aysha lagenifera. RNAcentral's name for it is "partial 16S ribosomal RNA". The record is from RNAcentral. Lineage: Eukaryota; Metazoa; Arthropoda; Arachnida; Araneae; Anyphaenidae.
UUCUAUUAGAAAUAAUUAAUAGUAAAAUCUGCUCAAUGAAUAUUAAAUAGCCGCAAUUUUCUGUGCUAAGGUAGCAUAAUCAUUUGUCUUUUAAUUGAAGACUAGAACAAAAGAUUUAACAUUUUAAUUAAUUUCUUUUUUAAAAAAAUUAAAAAUUUUUCCAAAUGUAAAAAAACAUUUAUAAAAUAGGAAGACGACAAGACCCUAUUGAACUUAACUUUAGUUUAACUGGGGCAGUUAAUUAAUUAUAAUUUUAAUAACAUUUCAAAAAUAAAUUGAUCCAAUAAAAUUGAUUAUAUGAUCAAGUUACCAUAGGGAUAACAGCGUUAUAAUAAUUUAAAGUUCUUAUUUAAGUUAAUUUUUGCGACCUCGAUGUUGAAUUAUUACCUAUUAGAUGCAAUAAUUUAAUAAAGGAAGUCUGUUCGACUUUUUAAUAAUAACA